This is a non-coding RNA of Nitrincola nitratireducens, 73 nucleotides long. Lineage: Bacteria; Pseudomonadati; Pseudomonadota; Gammaproteobacteria; Oceanospirillales; Oceanospirillaceae. The record is from Rfam.
GGGUCGUUAGCUCAGUCGGUAGAGCAGUUGGCUUUUAACCAAUUGGUCGCAGGUUCGAAUCCUGCACGACCCA